UUUGUAUGAACCAAAACACGGCUAACAAGUUUUCUCGUAUGCUUUUCAGUAUAAGAUCAUGGGAAACCUAUUCUGUUUAGUUCAAGUAGAUCAGUCCACAGUAGCCAUCAAGGAAACUUUCGGAAAAUUUGAUGAUGUUCUUGAGCCAGGUUUACAUUGUGUCCCUUGGAUUUUCGGAAGUCAGGUUGCUGGACAACUCACACUAAGACUUCAACAGUUAGAUGUCAAGUGUGAGACCAAAACAAAGGUUUUUUUUUUUUCCUCCUUUUCAAAUUAAAAUCUUUCCCAUUUGUGAUAACUUUGAAACUGAUAUAAUUUUCUUGUUUCUCUUUCAGGACAAUGUUUUUGUCAAUGUUGUAGCUUCAAUACAGUAUCGUNCUUGAAGUGUUUUCACUUUCAACAACAGCAUAUGCCAAUGGGUAGGUUCCAUUGUUGGAAUCAACACCAACUGCACUUAGUAUUUGACCUGGGAAAGGUCCCUUCAUGAAGGCUCCAUCUAAGCCUAAAAAUACUCUCAACCCUGCCUUAAAUACUUUUUGUAAAGGACCUAAACAGACAUAUAUCCUUUUGAAUUUCCUGGUUGGGGAUGAAACCACAGGUUCAGAAACUACAUCAAUCUUUACAUUUGUACCUUCGUUUGUCUUUUGUAGCUCUAGUACAUACUCUCUCAAAGGUGCGUAUUGCUUUACGUAAUCUCCUGCAACAUUUUUGGUGGCUAAUGCUUUUGCCCUAAAUGCUUUCUCUUCUGAAAUACUAACCUCAUAUGUUGAUUGGAGUUGCUCUUAUAGGGUACGAACAGGCAGGCCAAGAUUAGCUUCAAUCUGAUCCAUAAUUUGUUUGGCAAGAAAUGUUUCUGUGCAAGAUCUGAUUUUUCGUGUUUGGAGGCAGAUGUGUUUUUGAUUAUAGGUCUUAAUAAACCAAUAGUCCUGUUCACUUGACCUAGAUGGAUAAAGUUUCCAAGUGCAUUUAACUUUAUCAGAGUUUACAUCUUUACCCUUUACCUUUUUCCCAGAGGUAGGUGUUGGGUUUUGAGCAUUCUAACACUCCUAAGUGUACAUGAAACCCUAAAUACCUUGGAUCUAUGUUUUCUCUAUUACACAUGCAAAUAUGAAUAUUCCAAGGUAUUAUCCUAACUAGCAUACAAAACAUUGAUUCAUGUGGAAUAAUAUAAGUUAGAAGACAUACCUUUUGAUGUAGCUUGACUCCAUGGAGCUUAAGAGCCUAGUGCCCCAAGUGUGACACCUCAAAUGGUUCACACAACAUCAAAUGCACUUGGAAUAACUUAAAGAGAAAUGAACCACUUCAUGAAAUCGACUAGCCCUCACCAUUCCAUCAUAGUCUCUCAUGGUGGCCGAUUUUGGGAAGAAUAAGAUGCUUAUAUAGUGUGUCACAAUUAGGGUUACACCAUGUAAAGCCUAAUUGUCAUGGCCUUUCAUUUCCAUGAUCCAUGGGUACAAAAACACCAUGGAGCAUCCAUGGAGCAUCCUAUGGGUUUUAGCCUAACUUGAUAAUCCACGGAGCAUUACCCCACUAUACAAGUAUGGAUGAUUUACACAAUCAACCCAUAUAUUUAAUUAGUCUCCUUUUGAUCACUUAAUUAAUUCCAAAUUAAUUCUCGACCAAUACUAAUUAAAUAAUCUUAUUAAUAUGUUAGAACUUAUAAUAUAUUAACAAACCUUAAGCGUUAUUUCUCUCAUUUUAGUCUAUCCAAAUGCAUGAUGUCAUGCAACCCAAAUGGACCAUGCCAAUCGGGUCAAGUACAUACCAAUUAUAGUUGUGGACUUAGACACUAAUCCAACAGUAGGUCCACCUACCCCACUUGCAUGUACAACUACAGUUCCAUCACAAAUAGCUGUUAAUCUACUCUUUUCAUUUUUUGUGAAUGAGAUAUUCCUCCUUGCCUCUAAAGCAUGCAAGUCGACUUUAUCUUUCAAUUCUUUAUUGGCUUUAUAUUUCUGCCCAAUAUGAAAAGCUACCUUGUGCACCUUACCAGCAGAACAUAAUGUUUGUUUCCCCAACUCUUUGAUCAUUUCUCUUCUUUUCAUGUUGUCCCCUGAGUCAUUACUAAGUGAAUCCCACUCGUCAUUAUCAAUUACCUCCACAUCCUCUUCUUCAUCACUCUCUUCAUUUCUUUGACCACCCAAACUUUGACAUCCAGUGAACUCUGCUUCUGUAUCAAUAUUUAGAUUGAAAUCCUCCAUGUCAACUUCAACAUCUUCAAUUAUGUUGUCCUCAUUAAUCAUAAAGUCACUAUCUUCAUCUUCAUUGUUUUGAUUCUCAAACUCAAUGUCAUCAGGCUCCUCUUGUCUCCACUCAUCAUUGAAAGGAAUAUUAUCUUGGCCUUCAAACCCAUUAAAUGGGAUGCUAUCUUGGUCUUCAAACCCUUCAAAAGGUUGAAAGUUUGUCAUUAACUCAUCAUCUAUGUUGAUGUUAAUUGAAAAUUCAUUGACUCCUUGAUGAUCAUUAUCCAUGACAACUCUAUACCCCUCAUCUGUAAAUCCUUCUACAUCCUCACCAUUGGAUUUGUUCAUGUCAAGUUCUUCAUUCACAUCAAUCUCUUUGUUAACUAUUUUUCUGCAUCAACUAUAAACAAAUUCAGGAUGCAUAGGAUCAACACCCUUACCUUUAUCAACUUCACCACUUGCCAUUGUUUUUUCACCACCUUCCCAAUCCAAGUUAAGUUUUCUACUACAACACGAUGCCCCUUUACUAUGUUUCAAUCUUUAGACCUAGUAAAUUCAGUUGUUGCUGAUUUGUAUAAGGUUAAUGCUAACCCUAAAGCACCCCCACCAACAUCAAUUUGGAUUGGAGUUACCACUUUAUGAGCAACUACAGGUGAUGAGGGUCUAGGAGGAUCCUGAUUGUCCAUGUCUUCUAUUAUAACCCUUUUUGGACCAGUUUGGGACAUAAAAUAUGUAAGCAAGUUCGUUUGACCAUGCUCUAUGUACACUUUAAUCAUUUCGUUAUGGGUAACAUACUGUGAGAGAUUACGCACAUCAUCAUCAUUACCUAAUGCUCGGAGUCCAAACUCAAAUCCCUCAUUAGGCAAAUGGAAAUGGUAAUACAUGAUUUCAGUACCAUCAUACCCUAAUUCUCUCAUCAUCAAGUCUACUUCAUGAACAUAAAAUUCAUCAAUGUCGACAACAUCAAAGUACCUUACUUGCCCAUUAAUAUACCUGAUAUUUGGAAACUUUGUGAAACUCCCUCCGUGAUGGAGUUCAAUAGAGAAUAUGUUGGGGUAACCAUCUUUAAAACAUAAAGAGACGAUUGUUAGAGAAUAGUUUGAAGCUUGAUCAUCAAAUACAGAGUUUUUCAAAGUUUGAAUCAUAUCAUAAACUUCUUGAACGUUAACAUUCUUUCCAACAUUUCUAAGUCCCCACAUUUUUAAAAGCAUGAACGAAAAUCGAUUCUCAGACAAUGGUUAGGGUUUUUGCGUCUUGCUAAAUGAGGUAUGGGAGAAGACGAAGGAGUGAAGUAUUGUCUGCAAUCUUAUUAAUUGAAGUGGUGGAACGGAGGCUAGGACCUAAAAUGACCAAAAUGCCCUCACAUGGAGGGCAUGUGAUGGCAUUAAUGACUCCCAACAAACGGACUAUGACGGAAUGGACUAAAAACCCAUGAAAACCUUGAUUUUGGACCUUCAGUGCAAGUUUGAAACUUUUUGGAUCCCAUCCAAAGGUUUUUGCAAACCACAAGGACCAAAUUUGCAGUUUUGUCUAUUAGAAUUCUAUGAGUUAUAAAUUCAAAUAUUUAAGACAAUAUAGAAAUAUAUUAUUUUUUGAUUAUUUAUCCGUUUAUUUGUAUAUAAUCAAAGUUUAUCGAAUACAUAUAGAUUAACGAACUUAUUCUUAUAACCUAGAGAAUUAUAAUAUAAUUUACUACUCCAUAAUUAUUUUAAAAAAAUGCGAGAAGGUUAUAUUCGGAUUUACCAAUAAUUCGACGUCUCUAUCAAACAUAGUCAAUUUCGUCGCAAAAACUAAGCAAAACGAAGAAAAUUAGGAUGAAGGUGAAGUGUGAACGCAUCGAUAAAUACAAAUACUUUUUCGAUCCUUUCCUUAUUAAAGAUACAUCCGCGAAAUAUCUUCUCCACCGCGCUGUUCGAUCUUGGCCUUGCAACCACCUCAGGUAAACCCUCUUACCCUCCUCUUUGCAAAUUGAACUUGGAUCUUGCGACUAUGGUUUUCUUGUGACUAGGGUUGUCAUGAUCUCCUAUUAACUGAGUGCUUAUAAUGCUCUGACCUCCUUUUAACUGGGCGUUUCAAAAUUUGGGUUGUCAACAAGUUUUCAUGGAAGACGUAUGAUUUUGUGCUUUUAAAACGUAAUUUCUUGACCUUAUCAUGAAAUAUUUGGUAUCGCUAACUGAAUUUAGUAAUCAUAGUCGUGGUACUCACACAAAGUUGGGGAUAAUUUCGUUCUGUUACCUAUUGCUUUGUUCGUUAUCGGGAUUUUGCGAGAACACGUAUAUGGUCGUUAAUUUCAUCUUGUAAUCACAUAAUCAAUUUUGUUUUGUAUCUUAUCUUAUCACCCUUAAAUGAUUUCAAAUCGUGCUGUAAUUUUGUGUAGAAUCAUGAAUUGUUCUUGCGAAUCUUAUGUAGUCCACCUGUUUGUGAAAAUGUUUGUAUGAACCAAAACACGGCUAACAAGUUUUCUCGUAUGCUUUUCAGUAUAAGAUCAUGGGAAACCUAUUCUGUUUAGUUCAAGUAGAUCAGUCCACAGUAGCCAUCAAGGAAACUUUCGGAAAAUUUGAUGAUGUUCUUGAGCCAGGUUUACAUUGUGUCCCUUGGAUUUUCGGAAGUCAGGUUGCUGGACAACUCACACUAAGACUUCA
RNAcentral lists this long non-coding RNA (4825 nucleotides) under Lactuca sativa (garden lettuce). Its description in RNAcentral is "long non-coding RNA (LSAT_LNC004952)". Lineage: Eukaryota; Viridiplantae; Streptophyta; Magnoliopsida; Asterales; Asteraceae. The record is from RNAcentral.